Molecule: long non-coding RNA, 398 nt
Filed under: Brassica napus (rape)
Lineage: Eukaryota; Viridiplantae; Streptophyta; Magnoliopsida; Brassicales; Brassicaceae
Description: long non-coding RNA (BNAP_LNC011033)
Source: RNAcentral
AUGCAAGAGUGAUCGUAAUAGUUUUUGUAUGUUACUUGUUGUUUGAGUUUGUGAUUUUUCUUUGUGGGCUAUGCUUCCGGAGAUUUUAAGUUGUUUCUGUCGGUUUUAGACUCUCACCUUUGUAUAUUUUUCAGUUUUAUCAAUCAAAAUCUGAUGGUAGAAAAAGUAUCUAAAUAAUUAUGGAUAUUAUAUUUAUUUAGUUUUGGCUCAUGUUGACUCGGACGGUCGGUAUAGGAUUUUGUUACAGAAAUAGAUAGAAUAAAUUUAUAUCCCAUAUAAGACACUAUAAUAACCAUUAAUAAUUUUUUAUGUCCAUAAGUGAUUUAUAAAACAUUAAAAAGAAUUUUAAUAUUUUUUAUAUAAUCACAUAUUAGGAUUAUUGAAAAUGUUAUAAGGGG